This 465-nucleotide ribosomal RNA is filed under the name Vreelandella stevensii. RNAcentral describes it as "partial 16S ribosomal RNA". It matches the Rfam family "Bacterial small subunit ribosomal RNA", at positions 338 to 795 of the family's 1533-position model. Lineage: Bacteria; Pseudomonadati; Pseudomonadota; Gammaproteobacteria; Oceanospirillales; Halomonadaceae. The record is from RNAcentral.
CCUACGGGAGGCAGCAGUGGGGAAUAUUGGACAAUGGGGGGAACCCUGAUCCAGCCAUGCCGCGUGUGUGAAGAAGGCCCUCGGGUUGUAAAGCACUUUCAGUGAGGAAGAACGCCUGGUGGUUAAUACCCAUCAGGAAAGACAUCACUCACAGAAGAAGCACCGGCUAACUCCGUGCCAGCAGCCGCGGUAAUACGGAGGGUGCGAGCGUUAAUCGGAAUUACUGGGCGUAAAGCGCGCGUAGGUGGCUUGAUAAGCCGGUUGUGAAAGCCCCGGGCUCAACCUGGGAACGGCAUCCGGAACUGUCAAGCUAGAGUGCAGGAGAGGAAGGUAGAAUUCCCGGUGUAGCGGUGAAAUGCGUAGAGAUCGGGAGGAAUACCAGUGGCGAAGGCGGCCUUCUGGACUGACACUGACACUGAGGUGCGAAAGCGUGGGUAGCAAACAGGAUUAGAUACUCUGGUAGUC